This 865-nucleotide long non-coding RNA is filed under the name Equus asinus (donkey). RNAcentral describes it as "lncRNA (ENSEASG00005005119.2)". The record is from RNAcentral. Lineage: Eukaryota; Metazoa; Chordata; Mammalia; Perissodactyla; Equidae.
GCCCGGCUUCUGAUGACAGAUGGCAGCUUUUCCUUGCCUUUCCUGCUUUUGAACGUGGACAUUAAUCUGUGGACUAAACAUUAUGGAAAGUGCACUGACUGCCUCCACAGCACACGUGUGACCUUCCCCUGUGGUCCUCAGGCAUGCUGGACCUCGGAAAGAACGUUAAUAUUCAUCAACAGAGUAAGCUGGUACAAAUUGAUCUGACUUGAUUUGUCAGAGAGCCAGAACUGCAGGCAAAUAGACGCCGGAGAAAUCAACCAAUCUUUUAAGCCAACAGUAAUUGUUCCUCCUGUCGGCUGGCUAAAUGACUUGUAUCUGGAGGAGAUGCUCAGAAUGAAUCAGAAUGCCUGAGGUGACAGAAACGCAGAGCAUCCCACAGUGGGGUCUCUCAGAGUGAAUGAAAAUGGCCACUCCAGCCCCGAUUCAACAAUAGUCUUCAGUUCACAUAUCAACAAUUGUGAAGAAGAUUUCAGCAGUUGUCAUUGGUUGAUCUGCUUGGUCCUUACUCCAGUUGCAACUUGUGGCCUCCUUUAUUUGAUUACCUCCCCUAAAGAUAAACGGACAUUAAUGUUUCUCCCUUAGGAUAAUAUUAUUUGACUCUUAAAACAAUAUGUAAAGCUAGCCUUUAGUUUGUUACAUAUCAUUGUCCCAUCAACCCUUUAUGGGGAUGUACUAAGGGAGGUGAAUUGAUCUUCCAAGCUAUGUGAUGUGCCUGAGACCAGAAUACCCAGCUAGGUUGGAAUGGUGGGACUGGGGUGAAGGAAGAAUGUAAGAGACGUCAAGUUCGUCUACUCCUAAAGUAGUUGCAGUUCUUAAAAGAAGAGAGAUUUUCUUACCACUGUGAUCUCUAAGGAGGGCAAGA